This 301-nucleotide ribosomal RNA is filed under the name uncultured bacterium. RNAcentral's name for it is "partial 16S ribosomal RNA". It matches the Rfam family "Bacterial small subunit ribosomal RNA", at positions 509 to 809 of the family's 1533-position model. The record is from RNAcentral.
CAGUCGCCGCGGGAAUACAGAGGGUGCAAGCGUUAAUCGGAAUUACUGGGCGUAAAGCGCGCGUAGGUGGUUUGUUAAGUUGGAUGUGAAAGCCCCGGGCUCAACCUGGGAACUGCAUCCAAAACUGGCAAGCUAGAGUACGGUAGAGGGUGGUGGAAUUUCCUGUGUAGCGGUGAAAUGCGUAGAUAUAGGAAGGAACACCAGUGGCGAAGGCGACCACCUGGACUGAUACUGACACUGAGGUGCGAAAGCGUGGGGAGCAAACAGGAUUAGAUACCCCGGUAGUCCCUGUCUCUUAUAA